AGCCCUGAAAAUGGAUGGCGCUUAAGCGUGUUACCCAUACCUCGCCGUCAGGGUAGAAACGAUGCCCUGACGAGUAGGCAGGCGUGGAGGUCCGUGACGAAGCCUUGGGGGUGACCCCGGGUCGAACGGCCUCUAGUGCAGAUCUUGGUGGUAGUAGCAAAUACUCAAAUGAGAACUUUGAGGACUGAAGUGGGGAAAGGUUCCGUGUGAACAGCAGUUGGACACGGGUUAGUCGAUCCUAAGAGAUAGGGAAACUCCGUUUUAAUGUGGGCGCUUGCGCCCCACCCUCGAAAGGGAAGCCGGUUAACAUUCCGGCACCUGGAUGUAGAUUCUCCGCGGCAACGCAACUGAGAGCGGAGACCUUGGCGGGAGCCCCAAGAAGAGUUCUCUUUUCUUCUUAACAGUCUGUCACCCUGAAAUCGGUUUGUCCGGAGCUAGGGUUCAAUGGCUGGAAGAGCGCUGCACUUUUGCGGCGUUUGGUGCGCUCCCGACGAGCCUUGAAAAUCCGCUUGAAGAAAUAGUUUUUACGCCAGGUCGUACUCAUAACCGCAGCAGGUCUCCAAGGUGAAAAGCCUCUAGUUGAUAGAACAAUGUAGAAUAG
This 601-nucleotide ribosomal RNA is filed under the name Schizochytrium aggregatum. RNAcentral describes it as "partial Eukaryotic large subunit ribosomal RNA". It matches the Rfam family "Eukaryotic large subunit ribosomal RNA", at positions 1308 to 1908 of the family's 3401-position model. Lineage: Eukaryota; Bigyra; Thraustochytrida; Thraustochytriidae. The record is from RNAcentral.